This 467-nucleotide ribosomal RNA is filed under the name uncultured bacterium. RNAcentral's name for it is "partial 16S ribosomal RNA". It matches the Rfam family "Bacterial small subunit ribosomal RNA", at positions 28 to 507 of the family's 1533-position model. The record is from RNAcentral.
GACGAACGCUGGCGGCGUGCUUACCCAUGCAAGUCGAACGGAAAGGCCCUGCUUUUGUGGGGUGCUCGAGUGGCGAACGGGUGAGUAACACGUGAGUAACCUGCCCUUGACUUUGGGAUAACUUCAGGAAACUGGGGCUAAUACCGGAUAGGAGCUCCUGCUGCAUGGUGGGGGUUGGAAAGUUUCGGCGGUUGGGGAUGGACUCGCGGCUUAUCAGCUUGUUGGUGGGGUAGUGGCUUACCAAGGCUUUGACGGGUAGCCGGCCUGAGAGGGUGACCGGCCACAUUGGGACUGAGAUACGGCCCAGACUCCUACGGGAGGCAGCAGUGGGGAAUAUUGCACAAUGGGCGGAAGCCUGAUGCAGCAACGCCGCGUGCGGGAUGACGGCCUUCGGGUUGUAAACCGCUUUCGCCUGAGACGAAGCGUGAGUGACGGUAAUGGGUAAAGAAGCACCGGCUAACUACGUG